AUUGAACGCUGGCGGCAGGCCUAACACAUGCAAGUCGAGCGGAUGAAGGGAGCUUGCUCCUGGAUUCAGCGGCGGACGGGUGAGUAAUGCCUAGGAAUCUGCCCGGUAGUGGGGGAUAACGUCCGGAAACGGGCGCUAAUACCGCAUACGUCCUGAGGGAGAAAGUGGGGGAUCUUCGGACCUCACGCUAUCAGAUGAGCCUAGGUCGGAUUAGCUAGUUGGUGGGGUAAAGGCCUACCAAGGCGACGAUCCGUAACUGGACUGAGAGGAUGAUCAGUCACACUGGAACUGGGACACGGUCCAGACUCCUACGGGAGGCAGCAGUGGGGAAUAUUGGACAAUGGGCGAAAGCCUGAUCCAGCCAUGCCGCGUGUGUGAAGAAGGUCUUCGGAUUGUAAAGCACUUUAAGUUGGGAGGAAGGGCAGUAAGUUAAUACCUUGCUGUUUUGACGUUACCAACAGAAUAAGCACCGGCUAACUUCGUG
RNAcentral lists this ribosomal RNA (484 nucleotides) under uncultured bacterium. RNAcentral's name for it is "partial 16S ribosomal RNA". It matches the Rfam family "Bacterial small subunit ribosomal RNA", at positions 30 to 507 of the family's 1533-position model. The record is from RNAcentral.